This 419-nucleotide ribosomal RNA is filed under the name Plagiogramma sp. (in: diatoms). RNAcentral describes it as "Plagiogramma sp. (in: Bacillariophyta) partial large subunit ribosomal RNA". It matches the Rfam family "Eukaryotic large subunit ribosomal RNA", at positions 76 to 495 of the family's 3401-position model. Lineage: Eukaryota; Bacillariophyta; Plagiogrammaphyceae; Plagiogrammales; Plagiogrammaceae. The record is from RNAcentral.
UCCCCCAGUAAGGGCGACUGAAGCGGGAAGAGCUCACCGUGUGAAUCUGCGCUUGUUGCAAGCGCCGAAUUGUGGUCUGUAGAAGCAUGUGUUUGGCACGCCGGGUCAAGUCCCUUGGAAAAGGGCAGCUGAGAGGGUGAGACUCCCGUAAUUACCUGGCACGCGGCCAUUUGACACUAGCUUUCGGCGAGUCGAGUUGUUUGGGAUUGCAGCUCAAAUUGGGUGGUAAAUUCCAUCUAAAGCUAAAUAUGGGUGGGAAACCGAUAGCGUACAAGUACCGUGAGGGAAAGAUGCAAAGAACUUUGAAAAGAGAGUUAAAGAGUACCUGAAAUUGCUGAAAGGGAAGCGAAGGAAACCAGUGUUGUGCUCUGUCAUACUUCCCCUUCCGCUUGCGGGUGGGGCGCUGUGGCAUGGCAAUC